UGAACGCUGGCGGCGUGCUUAACACAUGCAAGUCGUACGAGAACUCUUCUGCUUGCAGAAGAUAGUAAAGUGGCGCACGGGUGAGUAACGCGUGGGUAAUCUACCUCCGACUCGGGGAUAACAUUGCGAAAGCGAUGCUAAUACCGGAUAAUAUCAAGAAUACUUCGGUUUUCUUGAUCAAAGGUGGCCUCUACAUGUAAGCUUUUGAUUGGAGAUGAGCCCGCGUACCAUUAGCUUGUUGGUGGGGUAAUGGCCUACCAAGGCUGCGAUGGUUAGCUGGUCUGAGAGGAUGAUCAGCCACACUGGAACUGACACACGGUCCAGACUCCUACGGGAGGCAGCAGUGAGGAAUUUUGCGCAAUGGGGGAAACCCUGACGCAGCAACGCCGCGUGAGUGAUGAAGGCUUUAGGGUCGUAAAGCUCUGUCGAGUGGGAAGAAAAACCAGACACCAAUAUUGUCUGGGACUGACGGUACCACUGAAGGAAGCACCGGCUAACUCC
Molecule: ribosomal RNA, 501 nt
Filed under: uncultured bacterium
Lineage: Bacteria
Description: bacterial SSU rRNA
Rfam family: Bacterial small subunit ribosomal RNA
Source: RNAcentral